UGGGGAAUAUUGCACAAUGGGCGCAAGCCUGAUGCAGCGAUGCCGCGUGAGGGAAGAAGGUUUUCGGAUUGUAAACCUCUGUCAUCAGGGACGAAAAAAGACGGUACCUGAGAAGGAAGCUCCGGCUAACUACGUGCCAGCAGCCGCGGUAAUACGUAGGUGGCAAGCGUUAUCCGGAAUUACUGGGUGUAAAGGGAGCGCAGGCGGGAUAGCAAGUCAGCUGUGAAAACUAUGGGCUCAACCCAUAAACUGCAGUUGAAACUGUUAUUCUUGAGUGGAGUAGAGGCAAGCGGAAUUCCGAGUGUAGCGGUGAAAUGCGUAGAUAUUCGGAGGA
RNAcentral lists this ribosomal RNA (334 nucleotides) under uncultured Ruminococcus sp. RNAcentral's name for it is "bacterial SSU rRNA". It matches the Rfam family "Bacterial small subunit ribosomal RNA", at positions 355 to 705 of the family's 1533-position model. The record is from RNAcentral. Lineage: Bacteria; Bacillati; Bacillota; Clostridia; Eubacteriales; Oscillospiraceae.